RNAcentral lists this ribosomal RNA (269 nucleotides) under uncultured soil bacterium. Its description in RNAcentral is "partial 16S ribosomal RNA". It matches the Rfam family "Bacterial small subunit ribosomal RNA", at positions 26 to 279 of the family's 1533-position model. The record is from RNAcentral.
AGAAUCAACGCUGGCGGCGUGCCUCAGACAUGCAAGUCGAACGCGAAAGUCCCCUUCGGGGGCAAGUAGAGUGGCGCACGGGUGAGUAACACGUAGGUAAUCUACCUUCGGAUGGGGAAUAACAAUCGGAAACGGUUGCUAAUACCGCAUAAUGCAGCGGCACCUAAUGGUGACAGUUGUUAAAGCGGGGGAUCGAAAGACCUCGCGUCUGAAGAGGAGCCUGCGGCGGAUUAGCUAGUUGGUAGGGUAACGGCUUACCAAGGCAACGA